GAUGAACGCAGCUACAGGCUUAACACAUGCAAGUCGAGGGGCAGCAUGAUUAUUGCUUGCAAUAAUUGAUGGCGACCGGCGCACGGGUGAGUAUCGCGUAUCCAACUUUCCCAUAACUAGGGGAUAAUCCGUCGAAAGGCGGUCUAAUACUCUAUGUGGUCUAUUUAUGGCCUCAUAUUUAGACGAAAGAUUAUCGGUUAUGGUUAGGGAUGCGUCCGAUUAGGUAGUAGGCGGGGUAACAGCCCACCUAGCCAACGAUCGGUAGGGGUUCUGCGAGGAAGGUCCCCCACAUUGGAACUGAGACACGGUCCAAACUCCUACGGGAGGCAGCAGUGAGGAAUAUUGGUCAAUGGACGCGAGUCUGAACCAGCCAAGUAGCGUGCAGGAUGACGGCCCUAUGGGUUGUAAACUGCUUUUAUGCGGGAAUAAAGUGAUUUACGUGUAUAUCAUUGCAUGACCGCAUGAAUAAAGAC
RNAcentral lists this ribosomal RNA (473 nucleotides) under Prevotella micans. RNAcentral describes it as "bacterial SSU rRNA". It matches the Rfam family "Bacterial small subunit ribosomal RNA", at positions 28 to 493 of the family's 1533-position model. The record is from RNAcentral. Lineage: Bacteria; Pseudomonadati; Bacteroidota; Bacteroidia; Bacteroidales; Prevotellaceae.